Molecule: ribosomal RNA, 498 nt
Filed under: uncultured bacterium
Lineage: Bacteria
Description: partial 16S ribosomal RNA
Rfam family: Bacterial small subunit ribosomal RNA
Source: RNAcentral
AUUGAACGCUGGCGGCAUGCUUUACACAUGCAAGUCGAACGGUAACAGGCCGCAAGGUGCUGACGAGUGGCGAACGGGUGAGUAAUGCAUCGGAACGUGCCCAGUCGUGGGGGAUAACGCAGCGAAAGCUGCGCUAAUACCGCAUACGAUCUAUGGAUGAAAGCGGGGGACCGUAAGGCCUCGCGCGAUUGGAGCGGCCGAUGUCAGAUUAGGUAGUUGGUGAGGUAAAGGCUCACCAAGCCAACGAUCUGUAGCUGGUCUGAGAGGACGACCAGCCACACUGGGACUGAGACACGGCCCAGACUCCUACGGGAGGCAGCAGUGGGGAAUUUUGGACAAUGGGCGCAAGCCUGAUCCAGCAAUGCCGCGUGCAGGAAGAAGGCCUUCGGGUUGUAAACUGCUUUUGUACGGAACGAAACGGUCCGGGUUAAUACCCUGGGCUAAUGACGGUACCGUAAGAAUAAGCACCGGCUAACUACGUGCCAGCCGCCGCUGUAA